RNAcentral lists this ribosomal RNA (765 nucleotides) under Clavibacter sp. AD-B2. RNAcentral's name for it is "bacterial SSU rRNA". It matches the Rfam family "Bacterial small subunit ribosomal RNA", at positions 30 to 806 of the family's 1533-position model. The record is from RNAcentral. Lineage: Bacteria; Bacillati; Actinomycetota; Actinomycetes; Micrococcales; Microbacteriaceae.
UGAACGCUGGCGGCGUGCUUAACACAUGCAAGUCGAACGAUGAAGCCGGAGCUUGCUCUGGUGGAUUAGUGGCGAACGGGUGAGUAACACGUGAGUAACCUGCCCUUGACUCUGGAAUAAGCGUUGGAAACGACGUCUAAUACCGGAUACGAGCUUCCGCCGCAUGGUGAGGAGCUGGAAAGAAUUUCGGUCAAGGAUGGACUCGCGGCCUAUCAGGUAGUUGGUGAGGUAAUGGCUCACCAAGCCUACGACGGGUAGCCGGCCUGAGAGGGUGACCGGCCACACUGGAACUGAGACACGGUCCAGACUCCUACGGGAGGCAGCAGUGGGGAAUAUUGCACAAUGGGCGCAAGCCUGAUGCAGCAACGCCGCGUGAGGGACGACGGCCUUCGGGUUGUAAACCUCUUUUAGUAGGGAAGAAGCGAAAGUGACGGUACCUGCAGAAAAAGCACCGGCUAACUACGUGCCAGCAGCCGCGGUAAUACGUAGGGUGCAAGCGUUAUCCGGAAUUAUUGGGCGUAAAGAGCUCGUAGGCGGUUUGUCGCGUCUGCUGUGAAAACUGGGGGCUCAACCCCCAGCCUGCAGUGGGUACGGGCAGACUAGAGUGCGGUAGGGGAGAUUGGAAUUCCUGGUGUAGCGGUGGAAUGCGCAGAUAUCAGGAGGAACACCGAUGGCGAAGGCAGAUCUCUGGGCCGUAACUGACGCUGAGGAGCGAAAGCAUGGGGAGCGAACAGGAUUAGAUACCCUGGUAGUCCAUGCCGUAAA